RNAcentral lists this ribosomal RNA (173 nucleotides) under uncultured bacterium. Its description in RNAcentral is "partial 16S ribosomal RNA". It matches the Rfam family "Bacterial small subunit ribosomal RNA", at positions 335 to 524 of the family's 1533-position model. The record is from RNAcentral.
ACUCCUACGGGAGGCAGCAGUUGGGAAUCUUGCACAAUGGGGGAAACCCUGAUGCAGCGACGCCGCGUGGAGGAUGAAGGAUCUAGGUCUGUAAACUCCUUUUAUCGGGAAAGACUUAGGACGGUACCCGAUGAAUAAGCACCGGCUAACUACGUGCCAGCAGCCGCGGUAAU